This 150-nucleotide unclassified non-coding RNA is filed under the name uncultured Capnodiales. Its description in RNAcentral is "sequence contains ITS2". Lineage: Eukaryota; Fungi; Ascomycota; Dothideomycetes; Capnodiales. The record is from RNAcentral.
CACCCACUCAAGCCUGGCUUGGUGUUGGGCGCCGCGGUCUGCCGCGCGCCUUAAUGUCUGCCGGCCGAACCGUCCGUCUCUAAGCGUUGCGGCAUUUCAUGUUUUCGCUUCGGAGCUCGGGCGGCGUCGCGCCGUUAAACCUCUUUUUCA